GAGAUGAGACAGGAAGAGAGGUGCGCUUUCCCUAGGACUGAGAGGACUUGGUGGGUAGUGAAGAGGGGAAGACAAGUGCAGCCGCUUCAAAUCCAUUCCCAUGAGUGACUCUGAGCAGACUUGAGCCUAGAGAAGAUCUGUAGUAGGUUUAGAAGAGACACGUGACUCUUGACUCCGGGUAGUCUGAGUUCAGAUGCCUGUGCGCCAUACUGGGUCUGGGAUUCCACGCAGGCCGCGUGGCUGGAAAGGAUCUCCUGAUCUCUGAGGGUCUUCAGGCUCUGGAGCUCAGUGGGAACUCUUUGGACAGCAGCUCCGGAGUGUGCCACCCAUGGAGUGAUCAGCACCGCGGGCCAAGGAGGAAAGAACCGUGUUGGGGAGUGUGACCCAGACGGGCCAGCUGAUGCAGAGCCCGGUCUGCAAAAGGGGAUGUGAGCCCACGUGCUGGAGCACUGAAGAAGGAGCUCACGUGCUGGAUUCCACAAGUCCCUUGCCCCGAGGGGCGGCGCCUGCGUGAGGCAGCACCUUCAACCCUGCCCUCGCCGGGGGACUCGCGAGUUAGCAGCCGGCCUGUUGAGGUCAGAGGAGGCGGGGUGCGUCCAAGCCUAGCGACUGCGCGUGCUUAAAGCUCUGGAGCAGAGAACGAGCGAGCGGCCUGAGCAACCCCAGCCCGUGACACCACCCGAACCACGCGCCACUACAGCUUUCCCGGCAUGGGGCGGGGGGCAAAUGCGGGGUGCUCUCCAUCCAGAGAGAGCUACGUUGUCCGCGGCUACGUGGACAACAGAGCGACCAUGUUCCCUCUGCAGCUGUGUGUUAUCACCCUGGGACUUAUGUUCUGGAUCUUUGCCAACUCUUAAGUUCUAUCAUGUCCCCUUGGAUGGACCCUCUUCUGAGGCACUCUGACGGCUGCUCCCCUCGUCCCACUUCUGCCAGCCUUAAAGAAGUCACAGGGAGACCAACACCCCAGGCCCCUAAGAGCAGUUUGGACGACAUCUAAGAGGGGAUGAUGGACCAUGAAUGAGCCAAGCCACCCCUCUUCUUGCCACUCUGGACUGAAACAGCUGGACUGACACCUUCAGUGAACUUCUCUGUGUCACAGCUGGGCUGAAGCCUUCGCUGCAUCAGUGAACUCUGUGUCACCAGCUCAGAUCAGCGUGACACCCUCUAGGAGCAGGUCAACUCCUUGACGGACGCGGUACUCUACAACUCAAAAGGACUAGCUCUGACUGCUGCCCUCCUUGAUCAGGGCUGCUACCACGCCAACAAAUGCUGCCUGGUUUGAAAUGGGGCCUAAAGGCACAGGGACCAGACAAAAGUUCCUCCUGGCUUCCCCCCACUCUGUCUCUUCCCCUGCCUCACGCUUUCUCCCUUCUUUAUCUUAAUACCUACAUUUUUACCGUGUCUUUAAAUGUUUUGCUUACUGAACCCACGCAGAAUUUCCCAUUCGAGCUCUCUCAGUGGCUCUCAUCCCACAACAGCUCCAUUUGUUCCUGACACAUCUGAGAAACAACAACAAUUUCUAUUCAGCACCUAAACAACAAUUGUUUAGGUGCUGAAUAGAAAAGGGACCGUGAUCUCUUCCACCACAGGCCAGAUACAGUUCUUCACAUUAACCCUUUAUUGACCCCUCUUCCCGUCCUCUGCUGCUUUGUAGCCCUCUGCUGCUUCUGCUAGCUCAUUUUUCUAGCAGUCCUGGCAAUGGGACCAGUCACUGUCACCCUGGGACCAGCCUCUGCCCACUUUGUCUCACUCUUGUCUCUUCUGCCUAGGCUCCUGCUCCUCCCCCUCCCUCAACCUUCCCAGAAAAUCUCUCAGCUCUACUCUAUAACCAAAUCAUCUGCUUGUGGCCUUCUAAUAAAUAUUUUCCCAGCUCUCCUCAGGAAUGCGGAAUGACAAUGGCCUGAUCCAUCACAGCUAAUCAAGACUCUAGCAUACAACAUGGCCAGAGAGUUUCCCUUUACUGGACCCAGAACUAACCCCUCUGAUAAAGACUCUCCUCCGGGGAAAGAAAAGAAAAAGCUAUGACAUCCUGCCCUGCGUCUUUUUAAUAUCCUCUCAGAAUUGGGACCGAGUUUCCUGCUGAAGGACUACACUUCCCAGCUUUCCUUGUGGACUACAGGAGUCCUCCCUUAUAAGAGGCACAUCCCAUCUUCCCCUGUAGGCAUUUUGGCAUCCACAAUCAAGUCUUUUUCUCUCUACCUUUGGCCCCUCUAUUGUUGCCUUUUAAAAGUUAGCUAAUAUCAACCAUGAAUGACUGCCCUCCCCCCACCCCCACCCCCAGGUCAUUUGCCUGUUACAGUAGUCUUACAGGACUAAGACUACUUAGGAGAGACAUCAACUUGCCAUAAAAAGCUGGGAGUGUCUGAGUUUGUUGAGGCCCACUUAAUGCAAAGCUGCUUCUUAAAUAGAAUCUGAGUUCUAGUUCCAAUCCUUGGUGGAACCCAACAUGCUACUUAUGACUGUCUCCUUUUAAGAGUUAAUUCGGGGAGCUGGGAGAUGGUUCAGUGGUUAAGAGUACUGGCUGAUCUUCUAGAAGACCCAGGUUCAGUUCCCAGCACCCACAUAACAGUUCACAACGGUCUGUAACUCCAGUUCCAGAGGAUCUGAUGCCCUCUCCUCUUCUGGCCUGUGUGGGCACUGCAUGCACGGGGUGCACAGACAUACAUGCAGGCGAAACACCCUACACAUAAAGUAAACAUAAAUAGACUAUUUUUAAAGGUAUCCCAAUAGAGUCUGUCAAUUAUCUGUCCAAGAGUCUGCCUUUGUCCCGCCAAAAACUCUGAGUCACCUAAAGACAUGCUAUUGACAGGGAAGGACUAAUUAUCCCCUUAAUGACAUAUUGUAUUUUCCCUUCCUAGGAGCCUCUCCCUCAAAGCAGCUACUUGCAGGACAUCCAUCAGGCAGGCAGCACAUUGGAGCCACCAUUAUGCACCCUGCCAGCUUUUCUGAAUAUUUUUUUCUUUUUCUGUGUAUACAUGGGGUAUGUGUGUGUGUGUGUGUGUGUGUGUGUGUGUGUGUCUGGAAUUACAGGUGGCCAUCACACCCACUUAGCAUUUACAUAGGUUUCUGAAGAUCCAAACUCAGGUCUUCGCCCUGGCAUAGCAAAUGCAUUGGCCACCGCACCCCUUUUCUUUCUUCUCAAUUCCUUUUCUUUCAGAUCCUGGCUAAAGCCAGGACAUGAGCUCGCACUUGUCCUCGGAAGCUCACCUCUCCCCCAGCUCCCACCAGGCUGCGGCUUUCCAGCCACAGCUCAAAAGACAUGAAUGCAUCUUCUCCAUCUCUCUAUUCCAGAGAGACUGACAGCUUGCUUGAUCUGUUGCUUUGCUAUCAAACUCUAGUCUAACUGUGUUUGAGCUUCCUUCUGAGACCAUUUCUAAAUCCUUUUGUUGUUGAAACAAAGGCCCACCCAGGGAAGAAGCCCACUAUACUCAGUAACAUUGUAGAGAUGGGAUGCUCCUGGUGGGAUGCUGCCCCACAGGCCGGAGUGCACAGCCCAGACCUUCAUCCAACACGCAGACCAAGAAUUACCCAACCAUAGAUGUCAAUGCUGAUGAAGUUGAGAACCAAGGGUACGUCAAACAAAUGUGUGUAAGUGUCUUAGAGUGUCUACAGCUGUGCGGCCUGUGAAUACAAGAACCCUUGCUGUGACCCUUGCUCAUGACAUACCCAAGCCAAGCAGGCCACUACCAGGCAGCUGCCCCCACAGAUCACCACAUGCAAGUUUAUCCCACUGUCUAGCAGGUAGCAGGAGAGUCCGUUUCCUUAACAAAGCAUCUAGACAGCACACUAAGAAGCAAGCUCGUGUGCUUGGUCAGUGUGGGCAAAGCAUGAGCGUUUACCCCCAGUUGGCGAUGAAGUCCCGUUGGGGGGUGGUUUUGUGCACUGUGUAUUCAGAUGCUGAUUUCUGUUCCCAGAGAUCUGGUUACAGUCCAGACUUUGGUCUAACUUGGUAUUUUGUAAAACAAUGUUCUCCAUCGUCUCCUGAUUGGUUAAAUAAAGAGCUGAAUAGCCUAUAGCUGGGCAGGAAGGCAAAAGGUGGCCUUUCUGUGCCUGGCAGAAAAAGAGGGUCUCAGCCGGGCGUGGUGGUGAUCCCGGCCUUUGAUCCCAGCACUCAGGAGGCAGAGGCAGGCAGAUUUCUGAGUUCAAGGCCAGCCUGGUCUACAGUGUGAGUUCCAUGGCCAGCCAGGGCUACACAGAGUAACCCUGUCUGAAAACAAAACAAAACAAAAAAAUAAAAACAGACAAAAACUGUACUUAGAUGCUACCAGAAUGGCUUCAAUCAUGAAAACAGCCAAAAAAGGGAAAAAGAAAGAAAGAAUACAAACACUAGAGAAAGGGAUCUUCAUGCCCUAUUAAUGAUAAAGUAACUAAGUAUGCUAAGUAGUAAGUAUAGAGAAUGCUAUGGAGGGUCCUCAAAAAACUAAAUGUAGAACUACCCUAGGGGGCUGGAGAGAUGGCUCAGUGGUUAAGAGCAGUAACUGCUCUUCCAAAGGUCCUGAGUUCAAAUCCUAGCAACCACAUGAUGGCUCACAACCAUCCGUAAUGAGAUCUGACGCGCUCUUCUAGAGUGUGUGAAGACAGCUACAGUGUACUUGCAUAUAAUAAAUAAAUAAUUCUUAAAAAAAAAAAAAAAGAACUACCCUAGGUUCAGGUAUGGCACUCCUGUGCCCCUGGGUCUAUACUUGAGGGCUGAGUCAGCA
This is a long non-coding RNA of Mus musculus (house mouse), 4700 nucleotides long. RefSeq annotates it as predicted gene, 38585. The record is from RefSeq and is a predicted model, not a curated record. NCBI's taxonomy places the organism in Eukaryota, Metazoa, Chordata, Mammalia, Rodentia, Muridae. The transcript is spliced from 2 exons.